AAGCGCUUGCAGCCAGACGUGCCUAUAGUUGUUCUCUUCUGUAGGCAGGCCAGCAUCAGUUUGGGCGAUUGGAUAAAGACCUCUGUCAUGUAUCACCCUUCGGGGUGGCCUUAUAGGGGAGGUGUCAUGCAAUCAGCCCGGACUGAGGUCCGCGCAUCUGCUAGGAUGCUGGCGUAAUGGCUGUAAGCGG
RNAcentral lists this ribosomal RNA (190 nucleotides) under Dictyosporiaceae sp. Its description in RNAcentral is "partial large subunit ribosomal RNA". The record is from RNAcentral. Lineage: Eukaryota; Fungi; Ascomycota; Dothideomycetes; Pleosporales; Dictyosporiaceae.